AUUUGAAUUUUUUUUAUACAGAUCCAUGAUUUAUAUUGGAUGAAAAGUUCGUGGAAGUCACAGGAUGGAUCAGCUAGCUGCAAGAAGGACCUCAUUUUAAUCCUAAUAAUAAGUCACAUGAAGUACCGGUGGAUGAUGACAUGACAUGUGGGUGACCGGCGAAGCAUACAAGCCAACAAAGAUGGCAUUGCAGAAGUUUGAUGAAGGACUUAUAGGUUCCGUUGGCUUGAAGGAUAAUAUAUCAUUUGACCAUCUUGGUAUAAUAAUUGUUGUAUUGGUAUUCGUUUCUCUUCUUGCAUGAAGAUUUCAUUAAGCUGACCUCACUCCAUACUGGGAAGGACAGUUCUUGUUCAUGAUGAUUCUAAUGAUCUAGGAAAGGUUGUUCAAGAAUCAAGAUGAGUUAUUUGCUACAUCAAAGAUUGUGAUGUCAUUGGGCACCAACGGAGGCGGACUGCAUCGAGGCGGGCUGUGUGCCGCUGCUCGAUGCCUAGAAAUCAAUUCGGCUGCGUUCAGGCAAAAUGGCUUCCAUUCAAGCUAGCUUUCCGAGGAAGCUUCUCAGAAGGUCCUUGGAUGGGGGAGGUUAACUUCAUCAUUCUUUCCCUUCAGUAGUUUUCACGAGCAGGACAAUUUUCGAUAAAAGUGAACAGGCUGAUUUCUUGACAAACAGAUGAAGGCCAGGCUACUAUUUAUCCAAUCAUUUUUUGUUUCAUAGAUUUCUGUUCACUCUAUUUUAGAUUGCAUUUAUAAGAAAUUCAGUUCUAUUUAAUGAGGAUGUCAGAUGUUCUUA
This is a non-coding RNA of Lolium perenne, 787 nucleotides long. Lineage: Eukaryota; Viridiplantae; Streptophyta; Magnoliopsida; Poales; Poaceae. The record is from RefSeq and is a predicted model, not a curated record.